This 163-nucleotide non-coding RNA is filed under the name Burkholderia pseudomallei B7210. RNAcentral describes it as "radC RNA". It matches the Rfam family "radC RNA". The record is from RNAcentral. Lineage: Bacteria; Pseudomonadati; Pseudomonadota; Betaproteobacteria; Burkholderiales; Burkholderiaceae.
ACCCUCGCCCGAUGUUCGCUGAUUCGUCAGCCGCAUGCCCAGGUGGCCGCGAUCUUCAAGGCUACGGCGCGGAUAGGUCCGCGCUGAUCGUUUUCCUCCAACGACGCUAUGGCGUCUUUCCUUCACCCGCAGGGGCGUUCAGUCCCUCGGGGCUGCGCUCCUG